Molecule: long non-coding RNA, 1136 nt
Filed under: Oryza brachyantha (malo sina)
Lineage: Eukaryota; Viridiplantae; Streptophyta; Magnoliopsida; Poales; Poaceae
Description: long non-coding RNA (OBRA_LNC001661)
Source: RNAcentral
ACGCCUUCAGAAAAUUAAGAUAAAAAUCUGUAAUAAUUUUGAACCUGCAGUCAAAUGCAUAUAUGAAAAAAAAACACUAUUUGCACUCAUUUAGAAGAUACGGAGUAUGAUUCUAGAAACAUACGGACAUGCAAAGCAUAUGAAUAGGGUGUCAUGCCCGAUAUAGGCACCUUUCGAUGGAUUACAGGAAAAAAAACACAUGAAAUUUGAAGGAAGUUUUACAAUUAAACUGAGCAUUUUAAAGUUCAUAUAAAGUUCUACCUCAACAGUUUUGAUACUUUAAGUGAAAUUUGCUAUAUCUCUUCUCUACUACCGAAUUCUAUGCAUUUUCUCAGCUAGCUAGGGUGUCCACGUGGCAUAGUUUGGAUGGAGCCGAGCUCCUUCGCCGGCCACAGCCCGAGCACUACUGCUGCCCCGACCUGAGCUCCACCGGCGUCGCUGACCCGAGCUCCUCCUUCGGCGCUGCCGCCCGAUCUUUGCCGCAGUCCCGACCUCGAUCUCCGCCACCGGUGCUCGAUCUGCCGCCGCCGCCACCCCGGCCAGCGCACGAGCCGCCGCCCCGGUCCGAUUUGCGCCACCACGGCCCGACAUCCGUCGCCCCGGCCCGAUCUACGGUGUCCCGGGCCGAGCUAGGCAGCCGUCGCUCAAUCUACCGCCGCCGCCCGUUCUGUUCCUUCGCCGACCAAGAUCCGCCGCUACGGCCCGAGCUCCGCUGCCGCGACGUGUGAUUCCUCACGUCGACCUCGCCGGCGGAGGAGGACGAGGACAGGGGCACCGACGAAGGGAGGCACAUCGCCGCUUUUAUCUGAGCCGCCCCGACCACCGCCGAGCCGCCGGUGGAAGGGAUGGGAGAGGGAGGGGGGCACUGUCGACGGGGUGAGAGAGGAUGAGAGAUAGAAAGGAAUGGGGUGAGACCCUGAGAGAGAGAUUACACUGAUGAGAGAGGAUGGGCGAGAGAGAGGUUGUACUAUGUUUAGUGACUUUAAAACUAAAUUUGAAAUAUAGACUAUGCUUAUUCCUUAUUUCUGACUUUAAAACUAAAUUUGAAAUAUAAACUAUGUUUAUUCCUUAUUUCAUAAUUAACUUGAAAAAUAACACUUUGUGAAUAGUGGUCGUUUUAUAUGUCAAUAUGUCCG